CGCUCGUGCCCCGGAGGGCGGCUCCCGCAAAACCUUUAUUAACAAUGAUGUAUACAAAUACGAUAGUUAACAAUCAAAACACAGUCAUCUUGCGCCAAACGAUACGUGUAAAUGUCAAAUCGUGCUUGUAAAUUUGUUUUUUUUUGUCGUUGGAUGCUUCGCUCUACCUGAUUUGAAAAUGGCGUUAAUGAGGUUUCAAAGCUGUCCCAGUGGAUCCUUUCCCUUGCUGUCAGUGAAGACCCCCUUUGUGAUGGCAACUUCAGCCCAAAGACAUGCCAGCUGGCGAUUCUAAGCAGUCCACGGUGUCCUGCUAUAGACAGGCAUCCUGUCCAGGGCCCCCUCUGCCCUGUGCUGCCUGGGACAGGCUCCAGCAGCCCCCCCUCCUCACAACCCUGACCCGGAUGAAUGGUUGGAUGAUCGUUGGAAUCAAAGCAUUUCGCAUCUGGACUUCAUUUCUAAGCUGGCUCAUCUGGAGGCUUUGAUUGAUGGAGGUGUUCCUUUCCGGAAAGGUCCAGGGACCGGCGGGUUGUGGCAGAGAGCAGAGAGAAAGCUGUGAAAUACUUUGCCUUCUCCACAAACCUUCUCUGACACAUUGCAGGUCUGAAAUCUGUUUCUGAUUCUGUUACCAUUUCUAUGUACAAUGUGAAUCCAGUGACAUCGGAACCACAGUGAACUUCAAAAACGACAGAUCUACGGUGCGGCCAUGACCCCCCCAGGAAAUAGACAGGCACCCCAGUCGCCGCUCUACUUCACAGACAAAAACGCAAUGUGGGACUGUUCAUUCUGUAAUCCGGAGCUGCCCAACACGUCCAUCGGUAGAUCAUGGUCUCCAACCUGAUCGUGAGACGAUUAAUGGAUAAUGCUCACGAUCAACGAAAAAUACUGAGGUGGUACCCCACCCCCCAAGUUGGUAAAUAUUGCCCCCUCACCAGUAAAAUCAUUGGGUCUGGUCACCCGUUGUACAAGGUCUGGCUCCGCCCCCGAACCGCAAAGAGUCAAAACACCACUGGCUGGUAGACGACUUAACAUGUUUGUCAACGUUUAUCCAGCUGCUGUACAUAAAUCAAACGUGGUUCUCCAUUCCAUCUGGCAGGAUAGAUUCUUGGAUGGAUGUCUGUGUGUGUCUGU
This is a long non-coding RNA of Brienomyrus brachyistius, 1128 nucleotides long. RefSeq lists it as uncharacterized. The transcript is spliced from 3 exons. The record is from RefSeq and is a predicted model, not a curated record. Lineage: Eukaryota; Metazoa; Chordata; Actinopteri; Osteoglossiformes; Mormyridae.